RNAcentral lists this ribosomal RNA (986 nucleotides) under uncultured bacterium. RNAcentral describes it as "bacterial SSU rRNA". It matches the Rfam family "Bacterial small subunit ribosomal RNA", at positions 338 to 1340 of the family's 1533-position model. The record is from RNAcentral.
CCUACGGGAGGCAGCAGUAGGGAAUCUUGCGCAAUGGGCGAAAGCCUGACGCAGCGACGCCGCGUGAGGGAUGAAUGCCUUCGGGUUGUAAACCUCUUUCAGCAGGGGCGAAGCCUUACGGUGACGGUACCUGCAGAAGAAGCCCCGGCCAACUACGUGCCAGCAGCCGCGGUAAUACGUAGGGGGCAAGCGUUGUCCGGAUUUAUUGGGCGUAAAGAGCGCGUAGGCGGCUACCCACGUCGGGUGUGAAAGCUCAGGGCUCAACUCUGAGAUGCCAUUCGAUACGGGGUAGCUAGAGCCAGCUAGGGGAGAAUGGAAUUCCUGGUGUAGCGGUGAAAUGCGCAGAUAUCAGGAGGAACACCGGUGGCGAAGGCGGUUCUCUGGGGCUGUCCUGACGCUGAGGCGCGAAAGCUGGGGGAGCGAACAGGAUUAGAUACCCUGGUAGUCCCAGCCGUAAACGUUGAGUGCUAGGUGUGGGGAGGCCUUCAACCCUCUCUGUGCCGCAGCUAACGCAUUAAGCACUCCGCCUGGGGAGUACGGCCGCAAGGCUAAAACUCAAAGGAAUUGACGGGGACCCGCACAAGCGGCGGAGCAUGUGGCUUAAUUCGAUGCAACGCGAAGAACCUUACCUGGGUUUGACAUGCUAGUUAAAGCGGGUGAAAGCCCGUGUCCGUAAGGGGCUAGCACAGGUGCUGCAUGGCUGUCGUCAGCUCGUGCCGUGAGGUGUUGGCUUAAGUGCCGCAACGAGCGCAACCCCUGCUCUUAGUUGCCAUCACGUAAUGCUGGGGACUCUAAGAGGACUGCCGGGGACAACUCGGAGGACGUGGGGAUGACGUCAAGUCAGCAUGGCCCUUAUGCCCAGGGCUGCACACAUGCUACAUUGCGCGCCACAGAGGGCUGCGAUCCCGUAAGGGGAGCGAAUCCCAAAAAGCGCGCCUGGUUCGGAUUGAGUCUGCAACUCGACUCAUGAGUCGGAGUCGCUAGUA